CCUUGUGGAGGAGGACGCCGAAGGUGGGGCUAAUGACUGGGGUGAAGUCGUAACAAGGUAGCCGUACCGGAAGGUGCGGCUGGAUCACCUCCUAACAGGGAGACAACAAAAUGUUUAAUGUAUUAUUUUGUCACCUUAGGUCGAUCGGUAUCUCACGUUUUUAAUUUAUUAAAAAUUUCAUUUCCUAAGUUUUUCUAGGUCACACCCAUUAUUUUUCCUGGGCCAUUAGCUCAGGUGGUUAGAGCGCACCCCUGAUAAGGGUGAGGUCCCUGGUUCAAGUCCAGGAUGGCCCAUAUCUCUAUGUUGGGGGUAUAGCUCAGUUGGUAGAGCGCCUGCUUUGCAAGCAGGAUGUCAGCGGUUCGAGUCCGCUUACCUCCACUGAUUACCACCUCUUCCAUAACCGGUAGAAAGGAAAUGUUUUGAGUUGUGAUCAAAUUCUGAAAGAAUCUAGCUUCCUAAUGAAAUCAUUAAGAUGCUGGAUUCAUUGAAUUAAUUUCAUUGUUUUCAGAGAACCUUGACAACUGCAUAGAUUAUUUUUAAAGACAAUAAGCAUCUUUAAUGAUGCAGAUUUAUUAUUUGUGCGAAUGCAUUAAUAACAAUUCUAUUAAGCUGAUGCUUCAAUUUUUGAAGUUAUUGGUCAAGCUACAAAGGGCUCACGGAGGAUACCUAG
This 670-nucleotide unclassified non-coding RNA is filed under the name uncultured Prochlorococcus sp. RNAcentral describes it as "partial may contain 16S ribosomal RNA, 16S-23S ribosomal RNA intergenic spacer, and 23S ribosomal RNA". The stretch from base 1 to 95 matches the Rfam family "Bacterial small subunit ribosomal RNA", at positions 1439 to 1533 of the family's 1533-position model. The record is from RNAcentral. Lineage: Bacteria; Bacillati; Cyanobacteriota; Cyanophyceae; Synechococcales; Prochlorococcaceae.